This 414-nucleotide ribosomal RNA is filed under the name Galeodea echinophora. RNAcentral describes it as "partial 16S ribosomal RNA". It matches the Rfam family "Archaeal large subunit ribosomal RNA", at positions 1937 to 2589 of the family's 2987-position model. The record is from RNAcentral. Lineage: Eukaryota; Metazoa; Mollusca; Gastropoda; Littorinimorpha; Cassidae.
AUAAGGAGUCGGACCUGCCCAGUGAAAUAUUUUAAACGGCCGCGGUACUCUGACCGUGCAAAGGUAGCAUAAUCAUUUGCCCUAUAAUUGAGGGCUAGUAUGAAUGGUUUGACAAGAAUAAAGCUGUCUCUUUAUAAUUAUAUAGAAUUUUAUUUUUAGGUGAAGAAACCUAAAUAAAAUUAAUAGACAAGAAGACCCUAUCGAGCUUUAAAUAAAUUAGUAGGUUCAUGGAAAUAUUUAUAAAACAACAUCUAUUAAAAAUUUUGGUUGGGGCGACAAAGGAACAUAAAAAGCUUCUUUUAAAACAGUAUAAACAAACAAGUUUUGAUCCAAUAAAUUUUGAUUAAAGAAAUUAGUUACCGUAGGGAUAACAGCAUUAUCUUUUUUGAGAGCUCAUAUCGAAAAAAAGGUUUG